Molecule: ribosomal RNA, 409 nt
Filed under: bacterium
Lineage: Bacteria
Description: partial 16S ribosomal RNA
Rfam family: Bacterial small subunit ribosomal RNA
Source: RNAcentral
UGGGGAAUAUUGCACAAUGGGCGAAAGCCUGAUGCAGCGACGCCGCGUGAGGGAUGACGGCCUUCGGGUUGUAAACCUCUUUCAGCAGGGACGAAGCGCAAGUGACGGUACCUGCAGAAGAAGCACCGGCUAACUACGUGCCAGCAGCCGCGGUAAUACGUAUGGUGCAAGCGUUGUCCGGAAUUACUGGGCGUAAAGAGUUCGUAGGCGGGUUGUCGCGUCGUUUGUGAAAACCAGCAGCUCAACUGCUGGCUUGCAGGCGAUACGGGCAGACUUGAGUACUGCAGGGGAGACUGGAAUUCAUGGUGUAGCGGUGAAAUGCGCAGAUAUCAGGAGGAACACCGGUGGCGAAGGCGGGUCUCUGGGCAGUAACUGACGCUGAGGAACGAAAGCGUGGGUAGCGAACAGG